Molecule: ribosomal RNA, 725 nt
Filed under: Chalciporus piperatus
Lineage: Eukaryota; Fungi; Basidiomycota; Agaricomycetes; Boletales; Boletaceae
Description: eukaryotic LSU rRNA
Rfam family: Eukaryotic large subunit ribosomal RNA
Source: RNAcentral
GGGAAGAGCUCAAAUUUUGAAUCUGGCGGUCUUUCGGCCGUCCGAGUUGUAAUCUAGAGAAGUGUUUUCCGCGCUGGACCGUGUACAAGUCUCCUGGAAGGGAGCGUCAUAGAGGGUGAGAAUCCCGUCUCUGACACGGACCCCCAGUGCUAUGUGAUGCGCUCUCGACGAGUCGGGUUGUUUGGGAAUGCAGCUCAAAUCGGGUGGUAAACUCCAUCUAAAGCUAAAUAUAGGCGAGAGACCGAUAGCGAACAAGUACCGUGAGGGAAAGAUGAAAAGAACUUUGGAAAGAGAGUUAAACAGUACGUGAAAUUGCUGAAAGGGAAACGCUUGAUGUCAGUCGCGUCGGCCAGGAAUCAACCUUGCAUUUUGCUGGGCGUAUUUUCUGGUCGACGGGUCAGCAUCAGUUUCGAUCGUCGUACAAGGGCGAAGGGAAUGUGGCACUCUUCGGGGUGUGUUAUAGCCUUUCGUCGUAUGCGAUGGUCGGGACUGAGGAACUCGGCACGGCUCUGCUUGUGCUCAGGAUGCUGGCAUAAUGGCCUUAAGCGACCCGUCUUGAAACACGGACCAAGGAGUCUAACAUGCCUGCGAGUGUUUGGGUGGCAAACCCGAGCGCGUAAUGAAAGUGAAAGUUGAGACCUCUGUCAUGGAGGGCAUCGACGCCCGGACCCGAGUCUUUGACGAAGGAUCUGCGGUGGAGCAUGUAUGUUGGGACCCGAAAGAUG